CAUGCUUGACCUCUGCACGAGCCGGACUAAGGACUGGACGACCUCCGACAUCGGUGGCCUGAAUUCCGGCUCAGGCUGUUGAAAAGCGCGAUUGCGUCGGCGAAUCGAGAGAGGGAUUUUGCAGGGUACAGUCCUUCCAGUGCUGGAUCUACCAUCUGAUCUAACGCAUCGAUGUCAUGAAGCUGCGGAGAAGCCCAUCGGACUAGCGACUGCUCUGACUUUUCACCUGUCAAAUGCUUUCCUGCCAGUCAGGAGCUCUAGCAUGACGACUCCAAAACUGUACACAUCACUCUUUUGAGAGUACUGUCCAGACAUGGUCACCUCGGGAGCUCUAUAUCCUGAGUUCUCAUCUGAUUCCUGAAUUCCUGGUUGGGAAUAAGCUCUGCAAACCCACAAUCUGAAACAUGGGGGUUAAGCUCAUUAUCCAACAGUAUGUUAGAUGACUUGAAAUUCUUGUGGAUGAUAGACGUUGAUGAAUCUUUCUCACUUACUCUAAUGCCCUUGCAGAUCCUAAUGCAAUCUUGACACGGCUAUUCCAAGACAGUGGUUUGCUGUAUCCAUCAGACAGGUGAAGGAAGUCAUGAAGAGAACCGUUUCUGUAAAAUUCAUAUGCCAGCAAAUACUGUCCAUGCUCCAAGCAGUAGCCGUCAAGCUCUGAGAGGUUUGGAUGGUUUAAUUUUGAAAUCUUUGCUACCAAAUCAAUAAAGAAAUCGGAUGGUUUGCUUGGAAAGGCAGAUACAUUGAUUUUCUUCACAGCCAUGACAAACCUUAUGAUCUGACUCAUCUGAGAUCUCUGCUCUGUAAACCCGGCCAAAAGAGCCUUCACCGAUAAGAUUGUCAGCACUGAAGCUCUCCGUUGCCAUCUGCAGGUCUGCCACAGUGUACGCAGUUGCUCUGAUGGAAGAAAGGUCUACAUUCUUUGCCAAAACAGGCUUGUUUGUGAGAUCAUUUUCGUCAAAGGACUUGUGCAAAUCGAUUUUCGAUGGCGGUUUCAGGUUCAUUGAGACAGUCUUCUGCAAUCCUUCCUUUGCAGUUGGUGAUAUGAUGCUUAUUCUAACUUACGAUUGAAUUUUCCUGAAGCAAUUGGUCUAAGAGUGAGAGGUUCAUUCUUCUCAGGAUCUCCUCCAUGUUGAUGCCUCGUUGACUUUCUCUUGAACACAAAGAAUCCAACCAUUGCUCCAAGAACCACCAAAGAUAUGACAAUCCCAGCAACAGCCCCACCUCCUAUCUUAGAACUU
RNAcentral lists this small RNA (1238 nucleotides) under Oryza sativa Japonica Group (Japanese rice). RNAcentral's name for it is "sRNA Os03g0397900". The record is from RNAcentral. Lineage: Eukaryota; Viridiplantae; Streptophyta; Magnoliopsida; Poales; Poaceae.